CAGCCCCGCGCCUUGCCGGUUAUUAGACAGCUCGCGGGACUGUCUGCGGGCCGCCUCUUUCCUGCUAAUUAUCACCUUAUGAAAAGUGUUUCAUUAAGGAACUCUGCUUUUGAUUAAUUAUCGACAGAAUGCUGACCAGAAAGAAAUGAAAUUAAUCUCUGACCCCGUCUGGGUAACACUGGAAAUUCAUCACAUAUCCUUUUAAUAUUGAAACACAGCGCAGAAUUUUAAUAGAAAAUAUUGUUUUUCCAAACCUCCAGUCUUUAUUAAUGCCCCUGGGCAGGGAAUGAUAUUGCUGGCAAUAUAGCAGUCUUUGUUCAUUUUAAAUUUAUUAAACAUAAUGCACUUCAUUUUCAAACAUUUUACUGUUUCUUUUUAAUUUCACUCAGUGUAAGUACAGAAUAAAACCUUUUUAAACAUUUAAGAUAUUGAAAACCCAUAUAUGAGUGUAUAACGGGAGCGCUCCGGCCAUCAAAUAAAUUUAAGUAGAAGCAAUUGUAAUUUUAAGCUCCCAAGUAUUAUCCCCUUCAGACAUUAAGGCAGUAUCCGUAACCAGCAAAUGGAAGUGUGAGAAGGAGAGGCUUCAAGCCCGCCCCCCCCACCCCCCAGGAAGACCUCACCAGAGGGACUGGCCUAGCCCAGCAGCCCCAGCAGACCCUCCAGGCCUAACGGGUUGGCGGGGUGGGCACUUUCCCCUGCAUUUCGUUGGUCCAAACGAAAUGAUUCUUGGAGGCCUGAGAGCUUGCCUGAGAGGGGGCCCCCAUCUACCCACUGUCCACUCCACGGAGGGCCCACCCUUCCUCCUGAAGGGACAGGGAGCUUCCCUGAAACUGGGAGGUGAUUCCUCCCUCUGAGAGUCACGCUGGGCCGCCCCCAACCCCAGUCAAGGCCUGCCGUGAUCCCGAGCCCUGGGGUGGGGGCUCCCCUGAGAUCACAUCCCUCCCCUCCUUCCGGGCCACAGCUGCCAGAGGAGCUGUGCAGGGAGCACCCUUCCUUACCCCCACCCCCCAGCAUAACUCCUGUACCUUCAUCCCCUUUCCCGAGGAAUCCAAGCUCCGAGUUUAAUGAGUCGUGAAGUGUGAGAACUUCCUGAGACCCCAGCGCCCCUGAUGCCAAUUCCAGAUGUGCGAGGUGGGAGGGGCUGAGCCUCCUGGCCAGUGAGCCACCCUGGUGGGACUGGAGCACCCUGGAUCCAGGUCCCAGCCAUCCGGGCCCUGAAUUGGAAACAGGCAACUUCUCCACUGAGAAAUUACUCUUUUUAUUUCUUGUAGCGUUCCUGGUGCCCUAUUUCACGGCACCGACAAACGGAAUAUUACUUCUAAAACACUAUGAAAUACCAGGUCCUGUCCUCAGUGCUAUUUCGGGGGAAUUAAAUGUUCACUGACUGGGCUCUGAGCCUGGCCUAGGCUGUCUGUGAUCUAUGACUUAUCUGCCGGACGUCUCUGCUGAUCCCCCACCUGUCCCCCACCACUCCUGUUUGGUAUCCUGAUGUCAUGGAGAAGUUCCUCUGACCUGCUAGAAAAAAGUUCCUCCCCUGUGUUAGUAAGUGUUCCGAAGUCUUGGCCAGACCUCACAGCAGACAACUUUGUUCCCCGGUGUUUGUGGUCAAGGCUGGGAGAGGCGCCGGAAAAGAGGGCUUUUCUGGAAAAAUUUCAGCCCUCAGUUUGAGUGGAGAUGGCUGCCUCCUCUUGCUUCUAACCAGUGCAGCCGACCAGAACAGGCAGCUGGGGGCCAGGAGAGGGCCUUCUAGCUGCUUGGGCCUGGCCCCACCCUAGGCGGCCCCGCCAGCACACCCACCGCAUAGCGGGAGGCUGGAGCUGCCUUCCCAGGGGCGAGGAACUACCAGCAGUGAGGGCUGGGGGCCCAAAGUGAGUGCGGAGGAGGGAAGUCAGUCAGGGUGUGUGUGGAGAGAGGUGAGGCCUCCCCCCACUGCAUAAGUAAGAAAGAAGCUACGGCGUGAGACAGGCAAAUAACACCAGCGCCCACACUCCCAUCGUGUCCUCUCUUCUAAGACCUUUGCCCAAGGCCACUCUCCCAGUCCCUCAGAGAAGGAGGCAGGAGUGAGUACGGAAGGGCCAGCCUGGCUGUUCUGUCACUGGACCUCACUGGGGUAGGGCUGAAGAGGGUCCAGAAAAGAAAGCUAGCUUAGUGGCCUGUGAAUUUCUUCCCCCCCCCCCCCAUCUACUUAAACUGAAAACAAACAAGUGAAACAAAACACAGAGGCACCAGGGCCACGCCCCAUGUGCCCCACAAACUGGGGGACCUGCCUGGCCUCUGCAGGCACCAUGGAGGAGGGUUCCCCGGGGUGGCCCACCCCUGGCAUGUUUGUGGACUCGGGAUCCACAACUGCCCUGCUUCUGGACCAGGAAAGCCCCUCCCCAGGGUCCCCACCCAGAGUCCUGGGCCCCGCUGUGCAAAACCCAGUCUCCUGAGUUUCCUAUAAACAACUGCUCACUGGGGUUAAGACUCUCCCUCUCUCCCUCUCUCUCUCUCUCUC
Molecule: long non-coding RNA, 2497 nt
Organism: Neofelis nebulosa (Clouded leopard)
Lineage: Eukaryota; Metazoa; Chordata; Mammalia; Carnivora; Felidae
Exons: 2
Source: RefSeq, a predicted model, not a curated record